RNAcentral lists this ribosomal RNA (253 nucleotides) under uncultured bacterium. RNAcentral describes it as "partial 16S ribosomal RNA". It matches the Rfam family "Bacterial small subunit ribosomal RNA", at positions 524 to 776 of the family's 1533-position model. The record is from RNAcentral.
UACGUAGGGUCCGAGCGUUGUCCGGAAUUAUUGGGCGUAAAGAGCUCGUAGGCGGUCUGUCGCGUCGGCUGUGAAAACACGGGGCUCAACUCCGUGCCUGCAGUCGAUACGGGCAGACUAGAGUUCGGUAGGGGAGACUGGAAUUCCUGGUGUAGCGGUGAAAUGCGCAGAUAUCAGGAGGAACACCGGUGGCGAAGGCGGGUCUCUGGGCCGAAACUGACGCUGAGGUGCGAAAGCGUGGGGAGCAAACAGG